This 825-nucleotide ribosomal RNA is filed under the name uncultured Magnetospirillum sp. RNAcentral describes it as "partial 16S ribosomal RNA". It matches the Rfam family "Bacterial small subunit ribosomal RNA", at positions 288 to 1124 of the family's 1533-position model. The record is from RNAcentral. Lineage: Bacteria; Pseudomonadati; Pseudomonadota; Alphaproteobacteria; Rhodospirillales; Rhodospirillaceae.
GANNCUGGAGAGGAUANNNNCCACACUGGGACNNNNACACGGCCCAGGCUAGCUAAGCCAGCACCGGGGAAAAAAGGACCAUCGGGCGAAAUGCAGCAUCCAGCCAGAAGUCGCUGGUGAUGCGACGUACUUAGGGUUGUACCCCUCCGAUCGCCACGNNNNNUAGGCGGUAGUACGGUAACGAAGGCCCGUCGAUCUUCGUGGGGGGCGAUCGAUCGACGAUUUUCUAGUGGGUAGCUAGCGUUGUUCGGAAUUACUGGGCGUAAAGCGCACGCAGGCGGGUCAUAGUCAGAAGUGAAAGCCCUGGGCUCAACCCGGGAAUUGCUUUUGAUACUGGACCGCUAGAAUCACGGAGCCCCGGUAGUGGAAUUCCGAGUUUAGAGGUGAAAUUCGUAGAUAUUCGGAAGAACACCAGUGGCGAAGGCGCUACCUGGCCGUCGAUUGACGCUCAUGUGCGAAAGCGUGGGGAGCAAACAGGAUUAGAUACCCUGGUAGUCCACGCCGUAAACGAUGAGUGCUAGUUGUUGGGGUGCAUGCACCUCAGUGACGCAGCUAACGCGUUAAGCACUCCGCCUGGUUGAGUACGGCCGCAAGGUUAAAACNCAAAGGAAUUGACGGGGGCCCGCACAAGGCGUGGAGCAUGUCUUUAAUUCGAAGCAACGCGCAGACCUUACCAGCCCUUGACAUGGGACGUAUGUAGGUCAGAGAUGGCCUCUUGUCUUCGGACGCGUCCACACACUUCUGCAUGGCUGUCGUCAGCUCGUGUCGUGAGAUGAAGGGUUAAGUCCNNCAACGAGCGCAACCCUCAUCUUCAGUUGCCAUCAU